Molecule: non-coding RNA, 1076 nt
Organism: Misgurnus anguillicaudatus (oriental weatherfish)
Lineage: Eukaryota; Metazoa; Chordata; Actinopteri; Cypriniformes; Cobitidae
Source: RefSeq, a predicted model, not a curated record
AUAAAUCUGGGAAUAUUACAAAAUCCCGCGAUAGGACAGAUUAUCUCGCGAGAUAGUGGUGACGUCACGCGUUCUUCCGGAAGUUCACAUUCAAACACGAGGAGCGAUUACGAGGGAGUUUUGUCUAUAUAUCAUUCAAAAUCUACUGUUGGGAAAAGCAGAACCUCAUCCAAAUAAAAAUAAACAAGCUGUUAAAGGCACUGUGUCCUACACAGACCCUCCAAAAUAUAACCACCCAAAACCCAAGUCAGUUGAAGGUCAACACAAACCAAAUAAAGAUGUGCAUUCUACAAACAAUAAAAAAAGAUCAAGUUUUGUGUCCACCACACUUAGAUGAGGCGUGCCCGACCCCUGACUUUGUCUACCCUACAUUAAGUUGCACACUUCAUGACAGUAAACAUCGGUAUCACAAUGGUGUGAUUGAUCUAUACCCUAGAAUAAGCUGUGACACUAUGAGACGUGAGGUAACACAACGAAAAAAUUACCGGAUGGAGACUACCUGAUUCUUCACCUAUGGCCUCAGCUUCAAAUGCAACAUGUCCAGCAACUGUCUGAGUUGGUGGAUAUUCUGUCAGAGACUGCGUGAACAACGUUAUGAACAGAAUGAUGUUAAAUUGUCUUAUGGCAAAGUUCAAUAUGAGGGGUGGUGGACAUCUGGAAAAGAAGUCUUUUAAAGGCACACCUUUGUAUUAUGUUAUUCAAGGUAAUUUGGGGAAUGUUGAUCUAAAAAAACUUGUUCUUGUAUAUUGAUUGUAAUUUUAUUGUUAUGCUUGAUCUAUUCAGGGGACAUCACAGCUCACCUGUCUUUAUCAGAAAUAUCCUGUUCAUUUUUUGACACACCUAGUUAAGGGUCUUUCUCAAGGGCACCACAGUGGUUUUGUAGAGGGAGGGGACAAAUGCUGUAUCCCCCACAACUGAUCUAACACUUAUUUAAAGCAGAGCAUAUUUUGUACAAUAAUAUAUAUAAUAUUAAUAUAUCAUUUUAGCUGUAGACCAUAAAGAUUUUGAAAGUAAGUGCAUGUCAUUUACCUCAAAAUUUUAAUUGUAUUUAUUUUAAAAAGAAACAUAUUCUUCUC